RNAcentral lists this ribosomal RNA (1199 nucleotides) under Bacillus sp. (in: firmicutes). RNAcentral's name for it is "bacterial SSU rRNA". It matches the Rfam family "Bacterial small subunit ribosomal RNA", at positions 160 to 1330 of the family's 1533-position model. Lineage: Bacteria; Bacillati; Bacillota; Bacilli; Caryophanales; Bacillaceae. The record is from RNAcentral.
GGGCUAAUACCGGAUGCUUGUUUGAACCGCAUGGUUCAAACAUAAAAGGUGGCUUCGGCUACCACUUACAGAUGGACCCGCGGCGCAUUAGCUAGUUGGUGAGGUAAUGGCUCACCAAGGCAACGAUGCGUAGCCGACCUGAGAGGGUGAUCGGCCACACUGGGACUGAGACACGGCCCAGACUCCUACGGGAGGCAGCAGUAGGGAAUCUUCCGGCAAUGGACGAAAGUCUGACGGAGCAACGCCGCGUGAGUGAUGAAGGUUUUCGGAUCGUAAAGCUCUGUUGUUAGGGAAGAACAAGUGCCGUUCAAAUAGGGCGGCACCUUGACGGUACCUAACCAGAAAGCCACGGCUAACUACGUGCCAGCAGCCGCGGUAAUACGUAGGUGGCAAGCGUUGUCCGGAAUUAUUGGGCGUAAAGGGCUCGCAGGCGGUUUCUUAAGUCUGAUGUGAAAGCCCCCGGCUCAACCGGGGAGGGUCAUUGGAAACUGGGGAACUUGAGUGCAGAAGAGGAGAGUGGAAUUCCACGUGUAGCGGUGAAAUGCGUAGAGAUGUGGAGGAACACCAGUGGCGAAGGCGACUCUCUGGUCUGUAACUGACGCUGAGGAGCGAAAGCGUGGGGAGCGAACAGGAUUAGAUACCCUGGUAGUCCACGCCGUAAACGAUGAGUGCUAAGUGUUAGGGGGUUUCCGCCCCUUAGUGCUGCAGCUAACGCAUUAAGCACUCCGCCUGGGGAGUACGGUCGCAAGACUGAAACUCAAAGGAAUUGACGGGGGCCCGCACAAGCGGUGGAGCAUGUGGUUUAAUUCGAAGCAACGCGAACAACCUUACCAGGUCUUGACAUCCUCUGACACCCCUAGAGAUAGGGCUUCCCCUUCGGGGGCAGAGUGACAGGUGGUUGCAUGAUUGUCGUCAGCUUCGUGUCGUGAGAUGUUGGGUUUAAGUCCCGCAACGAGCGCAACCCCUGGAUCUUAGUUGCCAGCAUUCAGCUGGGCACUCUAAGGUGACUUGCCCGGUGACAGACCGGAUGAAGGUGGGGGAUGACGUUCAAAUUAUCAUGCCCCUUAUGACCUGGCCCUACAUACGGUGCUUACAUUGAACUGAACAAAGGGCAGCCGAAAACCGCGAGCUUAAGCCAAUCCCACAAUUCCGUUUCUCAAUUCGGAAUAUCGCAGUUCUGUCACACUCUUGCAGCUCGC